This 73-nucleotide transfer RNA is filed under the name Microcaldota archaeon. Its description in RNAcentral is "tRNA-Trp". It matches the Rfam family "tRNA". Rfam says of the family: Transfer RNA (tRNA) molecules are approximately 80 nucleotides in length. Their secondary structure includes four short double-helical elements and three loops (D, anti-codon, and T loops). Further hydrogen bonds mediate the characteristic L-shaped molecular structure. tRNAs have two regions of fundamental functional importance: the anti-codon, which is responsible for specific mRNA codon recognition, and the 3' end, to which the tRNAs corresponding amino acid is attached (by aminoacyl-tRNA synthetases). tRNAs cope with the degeneracy of the genetic code in two manners: having more than one tRNA (with a specific anti-codon) for a particular amino acid; and 'wobble' base-pairing, i.e. permitting non-standard base-pairing at the 3rd anti-codon position. Lineage: Archaea; Nanobdellati; Microcaldota. The record is from RNAcentral.
GGGGUUGUCGCGUAACUUGGCAGCGCAGCAGGCUCCAGACCUGCGAGUCUGGGUUCAAAUCCCAGCAACCCCA